RNAcentral lists this transfer RNA (57 nucleotides) under Acinetobacter baumannii. RNAcentral's name for it is "tRNA-Asn". It matches the Rfam family "tRNA", at positions 8 to 62 of the family's 71-position model. From Rfam's summary of the family: Transfer RNA (tRNA) molecules are approximately 80 nucleotides in length. Their secondary structure includes four short double-helical elements and three loops (D, anti-codon, and T loops). RNAcentral also lists the same sequence under 4 other names. The record is from RNAcentral. Lineage: Bacteria; Pseudomonadati; Pseudomonadota; Gammaproteobacteria; Moraxellales; Moraxellaceae.
UAGCUCAGUCGGUAGAGCGACGGACUGUUAAUCCGCAGGUCCCUGGUUCGAGCCCAG